Picea glauca (white spruce) is the source of this 1566-nucleotide non-coding RNA. Lineage: Eukaryota; Viridiplantae; Streptophyta; Pinopsida; Pinales; Pinaceae. The record is from Rfam.
AAUCAAGGAAACAUUUGAGGGAAUUCCAUAACUUUUUCCCCUUCAAGAAAUAUCACAGACAACAUGCACUCCUUUUCCUCCUCUGCAUCAAUCAUGUGAAAAUACCUACAAACUAAUGAAUGGAUUUCCAAUGAUUUGUCAACAAUCCAUUUCUAGAAAAGGGCACAUUCAUCAUUAGACACAUAGAAGUUGGAUAAACCCAACAACCUUCCAUCCAGAGUCAACAAAAUUGAAACCCAUUUUUGAGAGUUGUUGGUGUCUCAUCCUAUAACCGAUGACAACGUUAGGAAAUCUGGAGAUGUCGUCGGGGGCCCAGGGAUGAGUUAUAUUUUCUUCUUAAUAAAUUUCCCACCCUAAAAUCGGCUCAACCGGAUAUAGGGUUCAACAGCUGGAAGAUCAUUGCACGUCUUGCGAUUUUCGGUGUGCCCUCGAUGGCCCUUGAAAAUUUGGAGGACCGAGUACCAUCCAUGCCCAGUCGUACUCAUAACCGCAUCAGGUCUCCAAGGUGAACAACCUCUAGUCAAUAGAACAAUGUAGGUAAGGAAAUUCGAAAAAAUGAAUCCGUAACUUCGGGAAAAGGAUUGGCUCUGAGGGUUGGGACUAGGGGUCUGCGUCCUCAACCUGUGGGUUGUCGGCAGUCUGCCAGAGCUACUAUCACGGCGAGGGCAGGUAGUCACAUUCCAAUUGGGCUACAAACAUAGGAUGUCCCCUCUUAGGGAAUUUUCCCUAGGCAGCGAACAAUCGACUCAGAACUGGUACGGAUAAGGGGAAUCCAACUGUUUAAUUAAAACAAAGCAUUGUGAUGGUCCCUGCGGAUGCUGACACAAUGUGAUUUAUGCCCAGUUCUCUGAAUGCCAAAGUGAAUAAAUUCAACCAAGCACAGGUAAAUGGAUAGAGACUUCAAUCCUUAGAAUCCUUGAGUUUGUAGCGAGGAUCAAUCUCAUGAAGUAUAGAUACUUGGAGAAGUUCAGAGAAAAGACGAGGUUUUGAAGUCACCUCGUGGAAUCAAGUUCAGAAGGGUGGACGCCAAGUUAUUUGACAAGGAAUCAUUGAGAGUCUAAAUGGAUGGUGGAAAUUCCCACAGGAAGAAACACCGAUUUCUGUGGACCGUUGGAUCUAGUAGAUCUGCGGGGAGGAUAAGGGCGAGAGUCUUUCAACACUUGUAAGAUCAGGAAGAAUAGUAGCCGUCAUAUCUGAAGGAGCGAGAGCCAUUGAUUUGGUGCUAUGAAAUAUUAUCAUUUCGAGAGUCGGGAGUGUGGAGGAAGCUGCAACUCAGAAUUCGCGAGUCGCUAAAUCCUGAUUCGCAAAGGAAGAACCUGGAGCGUUGGAUCAUGGGAGAUGAGGGCCGUCGAUCUCACAUAGCGGUCAUCGCGAUUUUGUAUUUCAAGAAAACGGUAAAGAACCACUUCACAAACCCCCCAUACACGAAAUCUCGAUGUGCUCAGAGGUUGGGCCCUAGGUCGCAGCUGGAGGUCAGCCAGAGCAAACUUACAAAAUUGGGGAAGACUUGAAAAUUUGGAAGUGAGCUUGUUCUUCUUUGAAAUUGAUGAUUUUAUACUCUCUCAU